AAACAGGCCAAAGUUAUGGCAACAACCGUUAAAAACCGUUAGCCAACGGUUAGCUGAGCAGAUUACAUUUAAAUAUUAAAGAACAUAAAGUAAGCCACAUAAAUUUCUGUAAAUUUGCUAAAUUAAAUAUUUAGCAUUAUGCAGAAAACUUCCAUAGAUUCACAAAUGAAGUAAAAAUGAGUUUAUUAAGAUGUUUUAUGGUUUUGAAAUACACGAAUACGAAUAUACGUGUUUAUGAUGUACUCUGUAAAAUGUCUAAAUUGCAGUUUCACCAAAUGUAUCAUUAGUACUAUUAAUUAAUAAGUGUUAUUUCGUCUUCAUUGACGUAAAUAAAUAUUAAAAUAUUCCUGUCCUUCUCAGUUAAAUGAUCAAUUACAUUAUUCUACGUGUGUUUAGCCUUUUUUAUUCCUACGUCACCAGUUUAAACACGUGACCAGCGGAAGGUUCCUCACCUUUAACAGAGAGGACAGGAACAGGAAGUUAUUAUGGAGCCGCUAGGUGCUCCUCUGUCACCGGGAUAUUGAUAAGUAAAAGUAUAAGGAGGAGGAGGUGGUGGAGGGGCGGUACGGGCUUGUUUAAUACCCCGGCAUCAAUACGCCUUCACGGGCCUAAUGCCCCGCCAUUAGUCACACGGGCCACGGCAGUGGAUUUAUCACUCACAUCUACCGGAUAUGAAACGGCACGUGGAGCAUCAGUGACGAGGAAACUCCCGAAAACACCAGGCACGUGGCCUUUUAUGAUUCAUCAACUACGGAAACGGAAUUAUUAGGAUUUCCUCCUGCGGCCUUUAAGACGAAGCGCCUGGGUUGCCAGAAAAAUCCUGUAGAGACGUUUUUACCAGAAGCGGUCGAUGGUGAAAACAGAGGAGGAACCUGGAGUCAGACGUACAGAAAGACCAUCAGUUACCACCAGGAAUCGAACCUCUGACCUCCUUGACGUAAGGUAAGAGUACUAACCACUCUACCACUGUGCGACCGCCGCGUGAAAUUACGAAUCCGUGUCUCGGAGAAUAUUUUUGUUGCAUCAGCCUCAGUGAUGUGAGCGUGUGUUAGUUCUGAUACGGAACGGGUUCUCGUUCAGUGAUCUGGUCUGGUCUGAGUAGAGUUAGGUUUACAGAGUGGGUAAACAUUGGGUUAAGGUUUGGAAUAAGGAUCUGGUUGGACUGUAGGACACAUGAGUGUGUGUGUGUGUGUGUUGUGAUGAUCCCUGUGAAAGCCCCCAGCUUCCUGUGUAAAGCUGCUGCUGAAACAUCAGCUGCUCCGGUGACGGCUGUAAAAGCAGAGGGAGCAGCCGAUUUAUCUGCAGUGAGGAGCGGAGAGCAGGAGAGCCGGCUCACACCUGCGUGUCGGACGGACCCCCGCCUUCUGCCGCUGCCUCUGCUUUCCCUUUCAAACUUAUUUAACUGCCCCGUCCCACUGAGAUUUGAGGGUGAGAUGCAGAAGCCUCACCCUGUAUGGGUGAACGGGGGGAGAGGUGGGGGGGGGGGGGUCUCCCAUCAGUGACUGUAAUGUGUGCCUCCACUAACAGGGGGCUCAGUGGGCCUUUUCACGCAGCAGCAGAACAGCAGGGGUUUUAAUUUAACAAGCCUGUUUUUAAUGAACCUGCAUGAGCUCCCAGCAGAAAUUGGAUUUACUCUGUUCCAGGUUCCAGGCUGUGCACUGGGCCUGUGUGUGUGUGUGUGUGUGUGAGAAGCAAUUAUAGCAGCAGCGCCAUAGAAUGAAUAUACAUACGGACAGACACUGAGGCUGCCAGGCCUCGGUGCACACACUCAGUUUAAAUGGAACUUUGAAGUUGUUGAAGCGUCGACAUUAAAACGUCCGACUGAAAUGAACUGAACUUCACUGGAAAUAAUACAAGAAUGAACCAACAAUGACCUUCACGUGUCUGUGUUAAGACACCAGUCUGGUCUGUUAGGAA
This is a long non-coding RNA of Cynoglossus semilaevis (tongue sole), 1917 nucleotides long. RefSeq lists it as uncharacterized. The record is from RefSeq and is a predicted model, not a curated record. NCBI's taxonomy places the organism in Eukaryota, Metazoa, Chordata, Actinopteri, Pleuronectiformes, Cynoglossidae. The transcript has 3 exons.